This 833-nucleotide ribosomal RNA is filed under the name uncultured archaeon. RNAcentral's name for it is "bacterial SSU rRNA". It matches the Rfam family "Archaeal small subunit ribosomal RNA", at positions 483 to 1318 of the family's 1478-position model. The record is from RNAcentral.
UCCGAGUGGUAGGGACGAUUAUUGGGCUUAAAGCGUCCGUAGCCGGCCUGGCAAGUCUUCCGUCAAAUCCAACGAUUCAAUCGUUGGACUGCGGGAGAUACUGUCAGGCUAGGGGGCGGGAGAGGCUGACGGUAUUCUCGGGGUAGGGGUAAAAUCCUAUAAUCCCGGGAAGACCACCAGUGGCGAAGGCGGUCGGCUAGAACGCGCCCGACGGUGAGGGACGAAAGCUGGGGGAGCGAACCGGAUUAGAUACCCGGGUAGUCCCAGCCGUAAACGAUGUGGGCUAGGUGUUGGAGCGGCUACGGGCCGCUUCAGUGCCGCAGGGAAACCAUUAAGCCCGCCGCCUGGGGAGUACGGCCGCAAGGCUGAAACUUAAAGGAAUUGGCGGGGGAGCACCACAAGGGGUGAAGCUUGCGGUUUAAUUGGAGUCAACGCCGGGAAACUUACCGGGGGCGACUGCAGGAUGAAGGCCAGAUUGAAGGUCUUGCUGGACGAGCUGAGAGGAGGUGCAUGGCCGUCGCCAGUUCGUGCCGUGAGGUGUCCUGUUAAGUCAGGCAACGAUCGAGACCCACGCCCCCUGUUGCCACCGAGGAGGUUCUCCAAGGGGCACUCUGGGGGGACCGCCGCCGACAAGGCGGAGGAAGGAGUGGGCCACGGCAGGUCAGUAUGCCCCGAAUCCCCCGGGCCACACGCGAGCUGCAAUGGCUGGGGCAGAGGGUUCCAACCCCGAGAGGGGGAGGUAAUCCCUAAACCCAGCCGUAGUUGGGAUCGAGGGCUGAAACUCGCCCUCGUGAACAUGGAAUCCCUAGUAAUCGCGCGUCAUCAUCGCGCGG